Molecule: transfer RNA, 72 nt
Filed under: Leptochiton nexus
Lineage: Eukaryota; Metazoa; Mollusca; Polyplacophora; Lepidopleurida; Lepidopleuridae
Description: tRNA-Ser
Source: RNAcentral
GAAAAUAAAGGCAGAAGAAUCAGAGCGUGGCUGCUAACUAUGCUUUAGGUGGUUUAAUUCCAUCUUGUUUUU